UACAGAGGUCCCAAGCGUUGUUCGGAUUCACUGGGCGUAAAGGGUGCGUAGGUGGCGCUGUAAGUCGGGUGUGAAAUUUCGGAGCUUAACUCCGAAACUGCAUUCGAUACUGCGGUGCUUGAGGACUGGAGAGGAGACUGGAAUUCAUGGUGUAGCAGUGAAAUGCGUAGAGAUCAUGAGGAAGACCAGUGGCGAAGGCGGGUCUCUGGACAGGUACUGACGCUGAGACGCGAAAGCGUGGGUAGCAAACAGG
Molecule: ribosomal RNA, 253 nt
Filed under: uncultured bacterium
Lineage: Bacteria
Description: partial 16S ribosomal RNA
Rfam family: Bacterial small subunit ribosomal RNA
Source: RNAcentral